CCUACGGGAGGCAGCAGUGGGGAAUAUUGGGCAAUGGGCGCAAGCCUGACCCAGCAACGCCGCGUGAAGGAAGAAGGCUUUCGGGUUGUAAACUUCUUUUCUCAGGGACGAAGCAAGUGACGGUACCUGCGGAAUAAGCCACGGCUAACUACGUGCCAGCAGCCGCGGUAAUACGUAGGUGGCAAGCGUGAUCCGGAUUUACUGGGUGUAAAGGGCGUGUAGGCGGGAAAGCAAGUCAGAUGUGAAAACCAUGGGCUCAACCUGUGGCCUGCAUUUGAAACUGUUUUUCUUGAGUACUGGAGAGGCAGACGGAAUUGCUAGUGUAGCGGUGAAAUGCGUAGAUAUUAGGAGGAACACCAGUGGCGAAGGCGGUCUGCUGGACAGCAACUGACGCUGAGGCGCGAAAGCGUGGGGAGCAAACAGGAUUAGAUACCCCAGUAGUC
Molecule: ribosomal RNA, 443 nt
Filed under: uncultured bacterium
Lineage: Bacteria
Description: partial 16S ribosomal RNA
Rfam family: Bacterial small subunit ribosomal RNA
Source: RNAcentral